This 433-nucleotide ribosomal RNA is filed under the name uncultured bacterium. Its description in RNAcentral is "partial 16S ribosomal RNA". It matches the Rfam family "Bacterial small subunit ribosomal RNA", at positions 29 to 507 of the family's 1533-position model. The record is from RNAcentral.
AACGAACGCUGGCGGCAUGCCUAACACAUGCAAGUCGAACGAGACCUUCGGGUCUAGUGGCGCACGGGUGCGUAACGCGUGGGAAUCUGCCCUUGGGUUCGGAAUAACAGUUGGAAACGACUGCUAAUACCGGAUGAUGACGUAAGUCCAAAGAUUUAUCGCCCAAGGAUGAGCCCGCGUAGGAUUAGCUAGUUGGUGAGGUAAAGGCUCACCAAGGCGACGAUCCUUAGCUGGUCUGAGAGGAUGAUCAUCCACACUGGGACUGAGACACGGCCCAGACUCCGACGGGAGGCAGCAGUGGGGAAUAUUGGACAAUGGGCGAAAGCCUGAUCCAGCAAUGCCGCGUGAGUGAGGAAGGCCUUAGGGUUGUAAAGCUCUUUUACCCGGGAUGAUAAUGACAGUACCGGGAGAAUAAGCUCCGGCUAACUCCGUG